Molecule: long non-coding RNA, 895 nt
Organism: Fukomys damarensis (Damara mole-rat)
Lineage: Eukaryota; Metazoa; Chordata; Mammalia; Rodentia; Bathyergidae
Exons: 3
Source: RefSeq, a predicted model, not a curated record
AGCGGGUGUUGACAGCCAGCAGCCCCAGCUGGUUGGUCAGGUUGCGCAGGUUCCUGGCCAGGGGGUCCUCGCUGCCGUACACCAUGCUGGCGUCCACGAAGGAGACCACAUCUUGACUAAGGAACAUGAGACAACACUGCCCCCGAACAUCAUCUCCAUGUGUGCAUGGAUCCUGUCACCUGCUGGGAAGGAGCCCAGGGCCUCUUCAAAAGGGCAGACCAUCCUUUCAGUCUUUUUCUGACUGGGACUUGCUACUUCCAGUUCCUGAAAUCCAGAUGCCCACCUCUAUUUCAAGCAAAGCCAAAUUAACAUGGGCUGCAGUCACCAUCAACCCAACCCGACCAUGGAGAUGCUCCAGACAUGAAAAUGAAAUUGUUGAAGAACAAAAUUAGAACUGUGGAAAGCUCUGGCUUUCCAGGAGGCUGACUCUGGGGAGCGGACACAGCAGGAUAGGAGGUGCUUACAAGGACCCCUCUUCCACAUCACACUGCCUUCCUCAGCUUGGCUACCGUCUUGUAGCAACUAUGAGGCAGAAGAACUGUUCCUCCAGGCCAGUGGCAGUUUGGGGGAGGGGUUUUAAACAGGGGUGCAGGACCCUGGCCAGGUCAGGGAGUGGAACCAGCUUUGCCCUGAGGUCCAGAGUCCUUAUGACUGAGGGGAAGUUCUUGCCUAGAUGGGAGUAAGCAGAGGAGAUUCUCUAGUGGAUAAGGUCCCCCAGUUGAGUGUAGGGAAGAGACAGAGAGGAUGAAUUCUGUCAUCUUCCCUACAACUCCCUCAUCUUCCUUUUAUAUAUCCACCACAAAUUCAACAAGAAGGGCACAUGUCACCCAGCUUUCAACCUCUUCCCUUCUUGUAACUGAGUGGAAUUUAUCCCAGGAAAGCAAGGAGGAUUAAC